CAAAAACAUGUCCUUUUGUUUUAAAUAUAAGGUCUAACCUGCCCAAUGAUUAAUAAUUGAAUGGCCGCGGUAUAUUAACUGUGCUAAGGUAGCAUAAUCAUUUGUCUUUUAAUUAAAGGCUGGAAUGAAUGGUUGGACGAAGUACAAGCUUUCUUUAAUUUAGUUUAUGAACUUAAUUUUUUAGUCAAAAAGCUAAAAUUUAUUUGAGGGACGAGAAGACCCUAUAGAUCUUUAUAAUUGUGAUUUUUAUAUAAAUUAGGGAAUUAAGUUAUAUUAUAAUUAUAAUUAUUUGGUUGGGGUGACUGUAGAAUAACAUUAACUUCUAUUUUUAUUUAUCAUAAAUUAGUGUUUUAUUGAUCCAAUUUUGUUGAUUAAAAGAUUAAGUUACCUUAGGGAUAACAGCGUAAUUCUUUCGGAGAGCUCGUAUCAAUGAAGGAGCUUGCGACCUCGAUGUUGGAUUAAAAUAAGUGCUAGGUGCAGGAGCUUAGUAACUAGGUCUGUUCGACCUUUAAUUUUUUACAUGAUCUGAG
This 530-nucleotide ribosomal RNA is filed under the name Harpactor sp. 00004661. Its description in RNAcentral is "partial 16S ribosomal RNA". It matches the Rfam family "Bacterial large subunit ribosomal RNA", at positions 1808 to 2609 of the family's 2925-position model. The record is from RNAcentral. Lineage: Eukaryota; Metazoa; Arthropoda; Insecta; Hemiptera; Reduviidae.